Molecule: non-coding RNA, 115 nt
Organism: Triticum aestivum (bread wheat)
Lineage: Eukaryota; Viridiplantae; Streptophyta; Magnoliopsida; Poales; Poaceae
Source: Rfam
UUCAUACUCCCUCCGUACGGAAGUACUUGUCGCAGAAAUGGAUGUAUCUAGAUGUAUUUUGGUUCUAGAUACAUCCAUUUUUGAGACAAGUAAUUCCGAACGGAGGGAGUACUUU